This 497-nucleotide ribosomal RNA is filed under the name uncultured bacterium. Its description in RNAcentral is "partial 16S ribosomal RNA". It matches the Rfam family "Bacterial small subunit ribosomal RNA", at positions 28 to 507 of the family's 1533-position model. The record is from RNAcentral.
GAUGAACGCUGGCGGCGUGCCUAAUACAUGCAAGUCGAGCGAACAGACGAGGAGCUUGCUCCUCUGACGUUAGCGGCGGACGGGUGAGUAACACGUGGAUAACCUACCUAUAAGACUGGGAUAAAUUCGGGAAACCGGAGCGAAUACCGGAUAACAGGUUGAACCGCAUGGUUCAACAGUGAAAGACGGUCUUGCUGUCACUUAUAGAUGGAUCCGCGCCGCAUUAGCUAGUUGGUAAGGUAACGGCUUACCAAGGCAACGAUGCGUAGCCGACCUGAGAGGGUGAUCGGCCACACUGGACCUGAGCCCCGGUCCAGCCUCCUACGGGAGGCAGCAGUAGGGAAUCUUCCGCAAUGGGCGAAAGCCUGCCGGAGCAACGCCGCGUGAGUGAAGAAGGUCUUCGGAUCUUAAAACUCUGUUAUUAGGGAAGAACAAAUGUGUAAGUAACUAUGCACGUCUUGACGGUACCUAAUCAGAAAGCCACGGCUAACUACGUG